AACCCAGAGUGAACUGCCAUUAACCUGCUGGUAUACAUUACCUUCCAGCUUCUAGAGUCUGGGGGUGCCAAAAGGCACAGCACAGGGACUUUGGUCCCCUCUGAACUUCCAUCUCUACAACAAUGCCUGGCCCAUGGUAGGCGGGCAAUACAUUUUUGUUGAAUGAAUAAUAAAUCUUUCUAGGCUUUUUUUUUCCUUAUACAUACAUACCUGUAUUUAUCCAAUUAUCAUUUUUAUAAAAAUGGGGUCACCCUAUACCUAUUAUUUGAAAUCUAUUGUUUUAACUGAACAAUAGGUUUAGUGAUCUUUGUGGACAGUUGAUUUUUUUUUUAAGACUGUGGGGACUAACACACAUUCACACAUUCACAGUCUGCAGCGGAGAAAUCAGAGAUGAUGCAGGGGCAGAAGCAGGAGAUGUAAUAACUCAGUGAGGCCGGUGCCCUAAUCAAGAAGAGUCCAAUAAAAACAGGCUAAACUCUUCAAACAAAAGCAAUAUGUGGCUUGCAGUGGAAUUUUCAAAAUGUAUAAAAAAAGGUGUAAAAUGAAAACUGCAAGUCUCUUCCUACCCUGAAGCCUUGGUUGCUUCCUUCAUACAGAAUCACUUUAACAGUUCCUUGUGUAUCCUCCCAGAAAAAUGGUUUCAUGCCGAUCUCUGCUAUUAAAGAUUUUUUUUUUUAUGAAUGCAAUCUUUCUACACACAUCGUUUUGCAUUUUGCUUUUUACACUUAAAUUAUCAGAGAUAGUUUUCUGUUGCAGACUUAUCUCUUAUGGAAAAGACAAAAUAGUAUUCCAUUAUUUAGAUGAAUCUUGAUGUAGCUAAGCAAUCCUCUGUUAAUGGUCAUUUAGGUCGUGGUACCCAGACACACACACACAUGCAAUUAUCAAAACAACAAUACACUGGACACCCUUUUAAAUAUGUCUUGGUAUAAAUAUUCUGGGUCUCCAUUGGAGAAAUUCUUAACAGAAAAAUUGAAUGUGCAUUAACAUGUCAAUAGAUUUGGCCAAAUUGUCCUCCAAAAAUACUGUUUCAAUUGAUCUUCCCUCAGUGAUGUACAAGAGUGCCUGUGUCCUUAGAUCUUGGGC
This 1083-nucleotide long non-coding RNA is filed under the name Macaca fascicularis (crab-eating macaque). RNAcentral's name for it is "lncRNA (ENSMFAG00000054916.1)". Lineage: Eukaryota; Metazoa; Chordata; Mammalia; Primates; Cercopithecidae. The record is from RNAcentral.